This 597-nucleotide ribosomal RNA is filed under the name uncultured bacterium. RNAcentral describes it as "bacterial SSU rRNA". It matches the Rfam family "Bacterial small subunit ribosomal RNA", at positions 338 to 949 of the family's 1533-position model. The record is from RNAcentral.
CCUACGGGAGGCAGCAGUGGGGAAUCUUGCGCAAUGGGCGAAAGCCUGACGCAGCAACGCCGCGUGCGGGAAGAAGGCUUUCGGGCUGUAAACCGCUUUCAGCAGGAACGAAAAUGACGGUACCUGCAGAAGAAGGAGCGGCCAACUAUGUGCCAGCAGCCGCGGUGAUACAUAGGCUUCAAGCGUUGUCCGGAUUUAUUGGGCGUAAAGAGUUCGUAGGCGGUCGAGUAAGUCGGGUGUGAAAAUUCUGGGCUCAACCCAGAGACGCCACCCGAUACUGCUUGACUUGAGUUCGAUAGGGGAGUGGGGAAUUCCUAGUGUAGCGGUGAAAUGCGCAGAUAUUAGGAGGAACACCGGUGGCGAAGGCGCCACUCUGGAUCGAUACUGACGCUGAGGAACGAAAGCAUGGGUAGCAAACAGGAUUAGAUACCCUGGUAGUCCAUGCCGUAAACGGUGGGCACUAGGUGUGGGUUUCUAUUAACGAAAUCCGCGCCGUCGCUAACGCAUUAAGUGCCCCGCCUGGGGAGUACGGUCGCAAGACUAAAACUCAAACGGAAUUGAACGGCUUGAGAGUUGCGAAGNGACGACGAGGGAGAG